UAAAUGCAAUUAGGUUGUGAUGCGUAGAGCUGAUCUCAGAACUUGGUUUUCAAUCACAAUAGCCUCUCUUUAGGCAACUCACUCCUAGUCCUAUUCUCUGCACAUGUGGGAAUUAUAAUGAGCACCAAGCAGAAUGAAUGAAAAUAAAUCCAGACCAAGAACCACUGAUGAAACUGCAACCCACAAGAGAAAACUAGCCAGAGUAUCUGCACAGGAAGGACAGGGAGACUUCUCUUUAUAAUAACAGAACCCAGAAGACGACCUACAAGGUUCUGCCCACAGGGGAGAUUGUGACCUAUUGCUGGCCCCAACACCAAAUCGAAGUUACACGUUUGCCUUGGCCUUGUCCUGAGAAGGUGCUGUGACAUAUUGCUGGGCCCAGCACCAAGCACCCUGGCGCAGAAUGCAAUGUGCUCCUAACCCCACGCUGUCUGCUCAGCCCACUGAGGACAACAGGAAUGAAAGCCUGGACUCUGCCAGUCACUGGGCAGGUGCAGAGAAUGCUGUUGGGGCAAUCCUGGCAUGGGUUGCUGCCUUCUAGAACCUGUGUGUGGAUUCAGAUGUCACUGUCUCUCAGGAUUUUGGCAGGAGAGCUAAUUAUGAUACAAGAUACACAAAGAGAAAGCAUACCUCUCUUUUCACAGCCAAGCACAAGGCUGCAAUGUACAAGGGAUGCAGAGAUCUGACCACU
Gorilla gorilla gorilla (western lowland gorilla) is the source of this 691-nucleotide long non-coding RNA. RefSeq lists it as uncharacterized. The transcript is spliced from 3 exons. The record is from RefSeq and is a predicted model, not a curated record. Lineage: Eukaryota; Metazoa; Chordata; Mammalia; Primates; Hominidae.